GCAGGAUUAGGUGAGCUGUGAUUGACAGUUAUCACAACCUAUUAGGGAGUGGCAGUCCCCUUUUAAGCGGCGAUUGGCUGCUGCCCGAAAUGCGUCAUGUCCGGCUUUCCCCCUUGGUGUUCGCAACGAUAGCGACAGGUGAGCAUUGUGUGUAAAUGUUAGUAGUUUUAAUCUGUGUUUAUUUAAAACUAAUGUUGCGUUGGUUUUAGAGCGUUUGUCUAUCGUGCUGGUGCCCUCCUGUACUUGAGUGGGUUAAAUGACUGUUUACCCUCAGUUAGCUGUUGUUUACCUGAUGUUGGUAAACCUGUGCUGUAAACUGUAAUGUGUCUGAGGUGAUGCCACUGUUUGGAUUCUCCCUUUUGUUCUACGCCGUGCUUCCUCUAUUGAUGAGUUUGAUUUUCGCGCUGCUGUGUCGUACCGCUGAAACGACGUCACUAUCUUUACCGUGAUACCAUGGACUGUACACUGUCUGGUUUCUAAGCUUUACUGUAAAAUUCUAUUUCUCAGUGGAGGAUUGUCCAGCACAUUGAAGCUGGCGUAUGGACUUUGUCUUCGCGUCGUAUGAUUUCUUCUGUGUAGCCCAUUUGCCAUUUAUUACUGUGUGUUAUUUUGCUUUCAGGGGCUGGGGGUUUCCACGGGCAAAGGAUCUUGUAAUGGUGGUGGUACAGCGUCAACGGUUGCCGUGCUACACAUUUUUGAUGUGUAUGAGUAUGUGCUCUGAAUUCACGGUGUGGUGUGUGCGUGCUUUUUGAUAAUUUGCGCCAGUGAUCACUCCUGUGGGAACCUCAGCCCUGUAAGUUGAUGUUUUGUGUUUUUUUUAUUUGUCAUGUUGACUGUUGCCAGUCAUUGUAUUUUUUUUUUGUAGAAAUUUAUAUUUUCUUUUCUACAGUCGUUUUGUACUUUUGUAAAAUUUUGUUUUGUGUGAUGAUGUGAUGUUUUAUGUAAUUUGUUUUGUGUCUCUUAUUGUUGGAAUAUAUAAGAGCUGUAUGGAGUAACAUCAGUCUAUGCCUGUUUUAAGACAUUCUCAUACCUCAAUGAAGGUUGCAAAAAUAAAUCUUAUAUUUUUGUAUUAUACCCACGUCUCCUGCUCUCUUGUUCUGAGGAAUGAACUUGUGUGCCUUACCACCUUUUUGGGUGUAAGGAUUAUUUCCCUGGGUGUAAGUCCCGGGGUGGCGUAGUCGGAGUUUUAUGCAAAAUCUUUGCUUUCGUCACGAAGCUUUCCCCCAACCCCCUCGUCAUGCCACAUUUUGGCGUAUAGUCGGCAGGAUCCUCGAAUUUUGAGUGCAGAGACGUGGGUAUUGUUUUUUUUAUUUUUGUGUAUGUGGGUAUUGUUUUUUGUUUAUGUCUUGUAGGAUCCAGACAGCGGCAGUUUUCGUGUUGGAAUCCCAGCACAAUUUGUUGCUGGGCUUGCGUGGUUCGAUCGUUUGCGGUAAGUGGUCCUUGGUUCUAGGAACAGAGGACGAAUCACACAGGUUAAUACAUUUAGAGGCUCCGUAGAGGUAAAAUGUGUUAUUGGGUUAAGAACAAGAGGGAGAAUCUGAAUGUAUUAAGUAGAGGGCCAGUUGGGUUUUUAUGGGCAUGUUGUGAACAUUUGGGCACGUCUGGCAUGGCGUAUCAUUAAAGGCACCAUAAAAUUGGUUGUCGUGCUCGUAAUCAUUUUGUAUGAUCUGUACUGUUCUGUUGUGUCUGAAGGUAGGGUAUUACUGAGGUGGUAUUUGCCUGUGACUUCAAUUUUACGAAGGGGUGGGGAGGUACGAAUCGGUCCCAUGUCAUUUGGGGUCCCUCAGAGUCUGGGGUGGAACCAUCUGAUAAGUUUAUUGGUAGGAGAUAUACCCCCCCCCCAGGUUAGUCAUAUUCAGAUGGGGUCCCUCAGAGGUGGAGGUGGAACCAUCUUAUGAGUUUUAUGUUAUAGGAGAUGUACACCUAUGUCAGUUUUAUGAAGGGAUGGGGAGGUACAAAUCGGUCCCAUGCCAUUUGUGGUCAGAUGGGGUCCCUCAGACUCUGAGGUGGAACCAUCUGAUGAGUUUAUUGGUAGGAGAUGUACCCCCCCAGGCCAGUCAUUUUCAGAUGGGGUCCCUCAGAGUUUGAGGUGGAACCAUCUGAUGAAUUUUACUAUGCAGGAGACGUAUUCCCCGUAUCAGUCAGUUCUGCGUUGGGGUUGGAGGUGCUAAUCGGUCCCAUGUCAUUCGUUGUCAGAUGAGGUCCCUCCGAGUGAGGUGGAACCAUCCGAUGAGUUUGAUUGGUAGGAGACGUACCCCCCGGUUAGUUAUUUUCAGAUGGGGUCCCUCAGAGUUUAGAGUGAAACCAUCUGCUAGAUUUUAUUGCACUUCAGGAAGCUCUUGUUGUAGUCAUCUGUCAUUGGAGAGUAUGUCAGGUCAGUACUCCAACUGAUACCACUUCCUUUAAUCAGCGGGCACAGCUUUUCUGUCUUGCAGAGUGGAUCGUAAAGGUUGUGCCUUUUUCCGACCUUGGGGCUGAGCACCCUGAGGUGGGUUUUGUUUUGUUCACCGUCGGGGCGACGUUGCAGAAACUUGGGGUGGAUUGUAGCAGGAUUAGGUGAGCUGUGAUUGACAGUUAUCACAACCUAUUAGGGAGUGGCAGUCCCCUUUUAAGCGGCGAUUGGCUGCUGCCCGAAAUGCGUCAUGUCCGGCUUUCCCCCUUGGUGUUUGCAACGAUAGCGACAGGUGAGCAUUGUGUGUAAACGUUAGUAGUUUUAAUCUGUGUUUAUUUAAAACUAAUGUUGCGUUGGUUUUAGAGCGUUUGUCUAUCGUGCUGGUGCCUUCCUGUACUUGAGUGGAUUAAAUGACUGUUUACCCUCAGUUAGCUGUUGUUUACCUGAUGUUGGUAAACCUGUGCUGUAAACUGUAAUGUGUCUGAGGUGAUGCCACUGUUUGGAUUCUCCCUUUUGUUCUACGCCGUGCUUCCUUUAUUGAUGAGUUUGAUUUUCGCGCUGCUGUGUCGUACCGCUAAACGACGUCACUAUCUUUACCGUGAUACCAUGGACUGUACACUGUCUGGUUUCUAAGCUUUACUGCAAAAUUCUAUUUCUCAGUGGAGGAUUGUCCAGCACAUUGAAGCUGGCGUAUGGACUUUGUCUUCGCGUCGUAUGAUUUCUUCUGUGUAGCCCAUUUGCCAUUUAUUACUGUGUGUUAUUUUGCUUUCAGGGGCUGGGGGUUUCCACGGGCAAAGGAUCUUGUAAUGGUGGUGGUACAGCGUCAACGGUUGCCGUGCUACACAUUUUUGAUGUGUAUGAGUAUGUGCUCUGAAUUCACGGUGUGGUGUGUGCGUGCUUUUUGAUAAUUUGCGCCAGUGAUCACUCCUGUGGGAACCUCAGCCCUGUAAGUUGAUGUUUUGUGUUUUUUUUAUUUGUCAUGUUGACUGUUGCCAGUCAUUGUAUUUUUUUGUAGAAAUUUAUAUUUUCUUUUCUACAGUCGUUUUGUACUUUUGUAAAAUUUUGUUUUGUGUGAUGAUGUGAUGUUUUAUGUAAUUUGUUUUGUGUCUCUUAUUGUUGGAAUAUAUAAGAGCUGUAUGGAGUAACAUCAGUCUAUGCCUGUUUUAAGACAUUCUCAUACCUCAAUGAAGGUUGCAAAAAUAAAUCUUAUAUUUUUGUAUUAUACCCACGUCUCCUGCUCUCUUGUUCUGAGGAAUGAACUUGUGUGCCUUACCACCUUUUUGGGUGUAAGGAUUAUUUCCCUGGGUGUAAGUCCCGGGGUGGCGUAGUCGGAGUUUUAUGCAAAAUCUUUGCUUUCGUCACGAAGCUAUCCCCCAACCCCCUCGUCUUGC
Misgurnus anguillicaudatus (oriental weatherfish) is the source of this 3783-nucleotide non-coding RNA. NCBI's taxonomy places the organism in Eukaryota, Metazoa, Chordata, Actinopteri, Cypriniformes, Cobitidae. The record is from RefSeq and is a predicted model, not a curated record.